Molecule: ribosomal RNA, 480 nt
Filed under: Actinomyces sp. 'ARUP UnID 79'
Lineage: Bacteria; Bacillati; Actinomycetota; Actinomycetes; Actinomycetales; Actinomycetaceae
Description: bacterial SSU rRNA
Rfam family: Bacterial small subunit ribosomal RNA
Source: RNAcentral
GGACGAACGCUGGCGGCGUGCUUAACACAUGCAAGUCGAACGCUGAAGCCYAGCUUGCUGGGUGGAUGAGUGGCGAACGGGUGAGUAACACGUGAGUAACCUGCCCCCUUCUUUGGGAUAACGCCCGGAAACGGGUGCUAAUACUGGAUAUUCACUGGCCUUCGCAUGGGGGUUGGUGGAAAGGUUUUUUCUGGUGGGGGAUGGGCUCGCGGCCUAUCAGCUUGUUGGUGGGGUGAUGGCCUACCAAGGCUUUGACGGGUAGCCGGCCUGAGAGGGUGACCGGUCACAUUGGGACUGAGAUACGGCCCAGACUCCUACGGGAGGCAGCAGUGGGGAAUAUUGCACAAUGGGCGAAAGCCUGAUGCAGCGACGCCGCGUGAGGGAUGACGGCCUUCGGGUUGUAAACCUCUUUCGCUCAUGGUCAAGCCGCAGCUUUGGGUUGUGGUGAGGGUAGUGGGUAAAGAAGCGCCGGCUAACUAC